Molecule: ribosomal RNA, 393 nt
Filed under: Oithona sp.
Lineage: Eukaryota; Metazoa; Arthropoda; Copepoda; Cyclopoida; Oithonidae
Description: partial small subunit ribosomal RNA
Rfam family: Eukaryotic small subunit ribosomal RNA
Source: RNAcentral
AUUCCAGCUCCAAUAGCGUAUAUUAAAGUUGUUGCGGUUAAAAAGCUCGUAGUUGGAUCUCGGCGGGCAGGGGGUGGUUCGCUCUUCAGCGCUACUGCCCCGCUUUGCCCGUGUGAUUGGCGGAGGUUUCGGGGUGCUCUUCGUUGAGUGACUCGGAGCGCCGUCAGGUUUACUUUGAAAAAAUUAGAGUGCUCAAAGCAGGCUUUUCACGCUUGAAUAUUCGUGCAUGGAAUAAUGGAAUAGGAACUCGUUUCUAUUUUGUUGGUUUCGAACACCGAAGUAAUGAUUAACAGGGACAGUCAGGGGCACUCGUAUUCCGCCGAGAGAGGUAAAAUUCUCAGACCAGCGGAAGACGAACCACUGCGAAAGCAUUUGCCAGGGAUGUUUUCAUCA